AGAGUGGGCUAUGGGAAUCGCGUCAUUAACGACGAGGAAAGUCCGGGCUCCAAAGGGCAGGAUGCCAGCUAACGGCUGGGCGGGGCAACCCGACGGAUAGUGCCGCAGAAAGGGAAACUCUCACUGACGCGCUUGCGCGUUAAGAGAAAAGCUGAAAAGGUGCGGUAAGAGCGCACCAGCAUCUUGGAAACAAGAUGGCUUGGUAAACCCCAUCCGGAGCAAACGCAAAUAGGGAUGCAAUGAUGUGUGCCCGCAUCGCAUUCGGGUUGCGCGCUUGAGGUAAGCAGCGAUGCUUAUCCUAGAUAAAUGAUUCUCACAAGACAGAACCCGGCUUAUAGGCCCGCUCUUGAA
RNAcentral lists this RNase P RNA (351 nucleotides) under Coriobacteriia bacterium. RNAcentral's name for it is "RNase P RNA component class A". It matches the Rfam family "Bacterial RNase P class A". From Rfam's summary of the family: Ribonuclease P (RNase P) is a ubiquitous endoribonuclease, found in archaea, bacteria and eukarya as well as chloroplasts and mitochondria. Its best characterised activity is the generation of mature 5'-ends of tRNAs by cleaving the 5'-leader elements of precursor-tRNAs. Lineage: Bacteria; Bacillati; Actinomycetota; Coriobacteriia. RNAcentral also lists the same sequence under 2 other names. The record is from RNAcentral.